GAUGAACGCUGGCGGCGUGCCUAAUACAUGCAAGUAGAACGCUGAAGCUUGGUGCUUGCACCGAGCGGAUGAGUUGCGAACGGGUGAGUAACGCGUAGGUAACCUACCUCUUAGCGGGGGAUAACUAUUGGAAACGAUAGCUAAUACCGCAUAAAAGUCGACAUUGCAUGAUGUUGACUUGAAAGGUGCAACUGCAUCACUAAGAGAUGGACCUGCGUUGUAUUAGCUAGUUGGUGAGGUAACGGCUCACCAAGGCGACGAUACAUAGCCGACCUGAGAGGGUGAUCGGCCACACUGGGACUGAGACACGGCCCAGACUCCUACGGGAGGCAGCAGUAGGGAAUCUUCGGCAAUGGACGGAAGUCUGACCGAGCAACGCCGCGUGAGUGAAGAAGGUUUUCGGAUCGUAAAGCUCUGUUGUAAGAGAAGAACGAGUGUGAGAGUGGAAAGUUCACACUGUGACGGUAACUUACCAGAAAGGGACGGCUAACUACGUGCCAGCAGCCGCGGUAAUACGUAGGUCCCGAGCGUUAUCCGGAUUUAUUGGGCGUAAAGCGAGCGCAGGCGGUUAGAUAAGUCUGAAGUUAAAGGCUGUGGCUUAACCAUAGUACGCUUUGGAAACUGUUUAACUUGAGUGCAGAAGGGGAGAGUGGAAUUCCAUGUGUAGCGGUGAAAUGCGUAGAUAUAUGGAGGAACACCGGUGGCGAAAGCGGCUCUCUGGUCUGUAACUGACGCUGAGGCUCGAAAGCGUGGGGAGCAAACAGG
This 765-nucleotide ribosomal RNA is filed under the name uncultured Streptococcus sp. RNAcentral describes it as "bacterial SSU rRNA". It matches the Rfam family "Bacterial small subunit ribosomal RNA", at positions 28 to 776 of the family's 1533-position model. Lineage: Bacteria; Bacillati; Bacillota; Bacilli; Lactobacillales; Streptococcaceae. The record is from RNAcentral.